CACGUAGGCGGCUUCUUAAGUCGGUGGUGAAAUCCUGGAGCUCAACUCCAGAACUGCCUUCGAUACUGGGAAGCUCGAGUCCGGGAGAGGUGAGUGGAACUGCGAGUGUAGAGGUGAAAUUCGUAGAUAUUCGCAAGAACACCAGUGGCGAAGGCGGCUCACUGGCCCGGUACCGACGCUGAGGUGCGAAAGCGUGGGGAGCAAACA
This 207-nucleotide ribosomal RNA is filed under the name uncultured bacterium. RNAcentral describes it as "partial 16S ribosomal RNA". It matches the Rfam family "Bacterial small subunit ribosomal RNA", at positions 568 to 774 of the family's 1533-position model. The record is from RNAcentral.